Molecule: ribosomal RNA, 253 nt
Filed under: uncultured bacterium
Lineage: Bacteria
Description: partial 16S ribosomal RNA
Rfam family: Bacterial small subunit ribosomal RNA
Source: RNAcentral
UACGGAGGAUCCAAGCGUUAUCCGGAUUUAUUGGGUUUAAAGGGUGCGUAGGCGGCUUAUUAAGUCAGGGGUGAAAGACGGUGGCUCAACCAUCGCAGUGCCCUUGAUACUGAUGAGCUUGAAUGAACUAGAGGUAGGCGGAAUGUGACAAGUAGCGGUGAAAUGCAUAGAUAUGUCACAGAACACCAAUUGCGAAGGCAGCUUACUAAAGUGUGAUUGACGCUGAGGCACGAAAGCGUGGGGAUCAAACAGG